UACGUAGGGACCAAGCGUUGUUCGGAUUUACUGGGCGUAAAGGGCGCGUAGGCGGCGCGGUAAGUCACUUGUGAAGUCUCUGAGCUUAACUCAGAACGGUCAAGUGAUACUGCUGUGCUAGAGUGCGGAAGGGGCAAUCGGAAUUCUCGGUGUAGCGGUGAAAUGCGUAGAUAUCGAGAGGAACACCUGAGGUGAAGACGGGUUGCUGGGCCGACACUGACGCUGAUGCGCGAAAGCCAGGGGAGCAAACGGG
This 253-nucleotide ribosomal RNA is filed under the name uncultured bacterium. RNAcentral describes it as "partial 16S ribosomal RNA". It matches the Rfam family "Bacterial small subunit ribosomal RNA", at positions 524 to 776 of the family's 1533-position model. The record is from RNAcentral.